Long non-coding RNA from Herpailurus yagouaroundi (jaguarundi), 1342 nucleotides. RefSeq lists it as uncharacterized. The transcript has 3 exons. The record is from RefSeq and is a predicted model, not a curated record. Lineage: Eukaryota; Metazoa; Chordata; Mammalia; Carnivora; Felidae.
GCCACGGUGGAUGUGUCACCCAACGUCUCGGUCUUUUAAGUAAACUACACCUGACAACACCGUGUUAUCCCGAGCUCCUUCAGUUUCCUGGAAACUCCCAGGAUGUUUCAGAAGGCAGAGUUCAGCUGUAACUUGGAUGGUGUUUACUUUAUCUCUCUAACACUAGGAGAGCGAACGCUCUGCCCGUCACCGUCCCUGCUGUGUCCUGAGUGCUAGAAGCCAGCCAGGAACCACACCUAGAACACUCCAAAGGUACUAUUUUAACGCUGUUUCACAAGUCAAGAAACCAAGAUCAGCUACAGAGCUUGAGGGACUCAGAGCAAAAUGAAGACGACAAAUGGAAAUUAUGAGGAAUAUCAAGAUGAUGACAGCAGAGCAUUGCACCAGGCGCAAUCACAUAGGACCCAUGAAACGGGCCCUGGAGGAAACCAAGGGCCAGAGAAGUUAAGUUACUUUCCCAAGGUCACACAGCAAGUUUUGGAGCCUCUAAAAAUCCUUUAUUUAUUGUAAACUCCCUGCAGGCAGGGGCUUUGAGGUCACUGGUGGCAUGUUCUGGUCCCGGGUCCUCAGGUCUCCAUGAGUUUGAUGGCCAAGUCCCCUCUCUGAUUGUUUCUGAACGCAAGAAAACGAGAACCAAAUUAUAAAUGGAUAAGCUAAACACGAGUUUUAUUUACCGCUAUGGCAUUCAGUGCUGCAAAAGAGUUUAAGGAGCUAACCUAUUUUUUGUUUCUAUGAAAGAGACUUCAUUUUUUCUGUGAGAUUCUUUGCUGGUGAUGGGAAGAAAGGAGAGAUAAAAUCUCAGGGGCACAUCAAUGCAUUAAUCAUGGUCCUAAUCUCAUGACCUGUUAUUAUUAUUAUUAUGCCCUUUUAGUUUAACUAUUCUUUGUUUAUUUUCAGUGCAGUAACGAUUACCCCUGAACUCACCCAAGAACUAGCUUAUUGCUGAUAAUUCAUAUCUCCUCUGGGCUCCUUACCCAUAUCACUUUCCCAUCUCAGAUGUGAUCACUGUCCCGAAUGUCACAUGUCCUGGUUGCUAGUUUUCAGAUGUGUUACAUUUGCAUGCCUGGCUAAAUAAUGUAUUGUUUGCUUAAAAGCAAAUUCAUAGAAAGGGUAUUUUGAAAUUCAUAGAAAGGGUAUUUUAUGCCGUCUUCUGAGACUUGCUUUUUUGACUCAAGAAUAGCUGAAAAGAGUCCAUUGCCGUGUCAUUACAUAGACUGGUAUUUUAUUUAUUUUCACUAGUAUAGAACAUUCCAUUAUCUGGACAGACUAUAAUGUAGUUAUCCAUUGCCCUCUCAUGGGCAUUCAGGUUGUUUCAGAUUUUUGCUAUUAAAAAGAGAGCUUC